CUUAGAUGGAAAUGAGUGUUAUCGAGGAAAUGGUUUUAGACUUGUGGUGACGAAGAGCAAGGCCGAGAAGGACUCCAACAAGCCCAAGCGCCCUCUGAGCGCCGUCUUAGUCCUCAUGGACAGCUUCAGGAAGGACUCCAACUUCAAGCAUGUCCCCA
Molecule: long non-coding RNA, 158 nt
Organism: Triticum dicoccoides
Lineage: Eukaryota; Viridiplantae; Streptophyta; Magnoliopsida; Poales; Poaceae
Exons: 3
Source: RefSeq, a predicted model, not a curated record